This 421-nucleotide long non-coding RNA is filed under the name Prunus persica (peach). RNAcentral describes it as "long non-coding RNA (PPER_LNC003853)". Lineage: Eukaryota; Viridiplantae; Streptophyta; Magnoliopsida; Rosales; Rosaceae. The record is from RNAcentral.
GUUAUGCUUCUCUGCUGGCAUGACUAAUUUGCAAUUGGUUUAAGUUUUCAACAUCAGCCACUAAUUUUUUUCCAACUUGAAGCAAAGCAAAGCAAGCAAGCAUCUUCAACCAUUGCUGCAGUGAAGUUUCAGCAAAUCAUCAAUCAUCUCUCUCUCUCUCUCUCUCUCUCUCUCUCUCUCUCUCUCUCUCUCUCUCUCUCUCUCUCUCUCUCAUCCUUCUACAAUGAUGAGGUGUAAAUAGCUAGCAAUGAGAAAUGUCAGUGAUGAUGCACAAUUGUUUUUUUCUUUUCCUGCAGAAUUUGUACGACAGAAAAUCUUUGAAUUAAUUAGAUAUUUGGAACCAAUUUUAGAGAAGCUUGUGUUUCACCUCUCUCUCUCUCUCUCUCUCUCUCUCUCUGUGCAUAUUUGUACCAGUUAUUCA